UCGCAUCAGGGAUUGCAGCGGAUAUCCUUUUCUGAAAGAAAAGAUUGCAGCGGAAAGCGCGGUCGCAG
This 68-nucleotide small RNA is filed under the name Mucilaginibacter polytrichastri. Its description in RNAcentral is "Flavo-1 RNA". The record is from RNAcentral. Lineage: Bacteria; Pseudomonadati; Bacteroidota; Sphingobacteriia; Sphingobacteriales; Sphingobacteriaceae.